Molecule: ribosomal RNA, 446 nt
Filed under: uncultured bacterium
Lineage: Bacteria
Description: partial 16S ribosomal RNA
Rfam family: Bacterial small subunit ribosomal RNA
Source: RNAcentral
CCUACGGGCGGCAGCAGUCGAGAAUCAUUCACAAUGGGGGAAACCCUGAUGGUGCGACGCCGCGUGAGGGAAUGAAGGUCUUCUGAUUGUAAACCCCUUCCAUGUGGGAGCAAAUUAAAAAGAUAGUACCAGAAGCGCAAGAGACGGCCAACUCUGUGCCAGCAGCCGCGGUAAUACAGAGGUCGCAAGCGUUGUUCGGAAUCACUGGGGGUAAGGCGUGCGUCGGCUGUAUCGUAAGUCGGAGGUGAAUGGCGCGGGCGCAACCCGCGGACGGCACAUGAUACUGCGAGACUAGAGUAAUGGAGUGGGAACCGGAAUUCUCGGUGUAGCAGUGAAAUGCGUAGAUAUCGAGAGGAACACUCGUGGCGAAGGCGGGUUCCUGGACAUUAACUGACGCUGAGGCACGAAGGCCAGGGGAGUGAAAGGGAGUAGAUACCCGAGUAGUC